Molecule: ribosomal RNA, 403 nt
Filed under: uncultured bacterium
Lineage: Bacteria
Description: bacterial SSU rRNA
Rfam family: Bacterial small subunit ribosomal RNA
Source: RNAcentral
UAUUGCACAAUGGGCGCAAGCCUGAUGCAGCCAUGCCGCGUGUGUGAAGAAGGCCUUCGGGUUGUAAAGCACUUUCAGUCAGGAGGAAAGGUUAGUAGUUAAUACCUGCUAGGUGUGACGUUACUGACAGAAGAAGCACCGGCUAACUCCGUGCCAGCAGCCGCGGUAAUACGGAGGGUGCGAGCGUUAAUCGGAAUUACUGGGCGUAAAGCGUACGCAGGCGGUUUGUUAAGCGAGAUGUGAAAGCCCCGGGCUCAGCCUGGGAACUGCAUUUCGAACUGGCAAACUAGAGUGUGAUAGAGGGUGGUAGAAUUUCAGGUGUAGCGGUGAAAUGCGUAGAGAUUUGAAGGAAUACCGAUGGCGAAGGCAGCCACCUGGGUCAACACUGACGCUCAUUACGAAA